RNAcentral lists this ribosomal RNA (1321 nucleotides) under metagenome. RNAcentral describes it as "bacterial LSU rRNA". It matches the Rfam family "Bacterial large subunit ribosomal RNA", at positions 1567 to 2925 of the family's 2925-position model. The record is from RNAcentral.
AGUGGAUGGGGAGCAACCUAGUUGUCGUGUGUAAAGGUAGUGCCAAGAAAAGCGAUGAUCAUGUUGAAAAUCAAUUCCCGGUACCCGAAACCGACACAGGUGGGCAAGUAGAGAAUACUAAGGGGCGCGAGGUAACUCUCUCCAAGGAACUCGGCAAAAUGACCCCGUAACUUAGGGAGAAGGGGUGCCACCGAGAGGUGGUCGCAGUGAAGAGGCCCAGGCGACUGUUUAGCAAAAACAUAGGUCUCUGCAAACUCGAAAGAGGAGGUAUAGGGGCUGACGCCUGCCCAGUGCCGGAAGGUUACAGAAGUUGGUCAGUUUUAGGAUGAAGCUAGCGACUGAAGCCCCGGUGAACGGCGGCCGUAACUAUAACGGUCCUAAGGUAGCGAAAUUCCUUGUCGGGUAAGUUCCGACCCGCACGAAAGGCGUAACGAUCUGGGCGCUGUCUCGGAGAGAGGCUCGGCGAAAUAGGAUUGUCUGUGAAGAUACGGACUACCUGCAUUUGGACAGAAAGACCCUAUGAAGCUUUACUAUAGCUUGGAAUUGUGUUCGGGCUUCCUGUGCGCAGGAUAGGUGGGAGGCGUAGAAGGUAUUCUUGUGGGGAUACUGGAGCCAACGGUGAGAUACCACUCUCAGGAGGCUAGAAUUCUAACUUAAUUAAGGACAGUUUCAGGUGGGUAGUUUGACUGGGGCGGUCGCCUCCAAAAAGGUAACGGAGGCGUACAAAGGUUCCCUCAGACUGGUUGGAAAUCAGUCGAAGAGUGCAAAGGCAGAAGGGAGCUUGACUGCGAGAAGUACAGUUCGAGCAGGGUGGAAACACGGUCUUAGUGAUCCGACGGUGCUGUGUGGAAGGGCCGUCGCUCAACGGAUAAAAGUUACUCUAGGAUAACAGGCUGAUCUCCCCCAAGAGUUCACAUCGACGGGGAGGUUUGGCACCUCGAUGUCGGCUCAUCGCAACCUGGGGCGGAAGUACGUCCCAAGGGUUGGGCUGUUCGCCCAUUAAAGCGGUACGUGAGCUGGGUUCAGAACGUCGUGAGACAGUUCGGUCCAUAUCCGAUGUAGGCGUGAGAAUAUUGAGAGGAGCCUUCCUUAGUACGAGAGGACCGGGAAGGACGCACCGCUGGUGUACCUGUUAUGAUGCCAAUUGUAAACGCAGGGUAGCCAAGUGCGGAGAGGAUAACCGCUGAAAGCAUCUAAGUGGGAAGCCCACCUCAAGAUGAGUAUUCUGGUGUAAGGUCACGGGAAGACGACCCGUAAAUAGGCACGAGGUGGAAGUGCAGAGAUGUAUGAAGCCGAAGUGUUCUAAUAGACCGUCGGCUUG